UGCAACGAUUUUAAAUACCUUAACUUCAAAAAAUUUCUUAUUCUCUGGGGCCAUUUUACUUUUGUUCAGAAAACCACUUUUCCGAGAACAAUACAUACAUACAUCAACUGAAGUCCCGUUUUUUAUGUCGCUGCCGCCGUUUUUCUGAACGUGUGGAUGUACGUCCUCAUGAAAAUGUUUUUGGGCUGUAACAAGAAGUCUUGCUAUGCAGUCUCAACACCUUUAAAAACCAAACAAGAUUUAUUCGUCCAAAUCUGCUACAACUGUUUUGACCCCAGACUUCUUUCUAUGUAAUAUGUGCAUAUUUAAACACGGCAUGUACAGCGGUUUCUUAAUGUCAGGUGGUAAAUAAGUAAUGCACUUUUGUUAACUUUAUUUUUGGCGCGACCAUAUUUUUUCGUGUUGAGAGAAAUAGUGCAAAAAUAUAUCUUAUGAAUUUGCACUAGAUUCCGUUUUCUUUCUUUCCGCGUAUAACUUUCCCAAUUGUUGUUGGUAGAAUAUAAUUUAUGAAAUGUUUCGAAAAACGGAGUUGCAUCCUUACGAAUCUUCAGAUAAUAAUACUUCGCUUACACUAAGAUCACUACUUGAGGGCGGCGCUCGUUAAUUCUGCCAAAUAUUGUUUUUUCACCGAAUGAAAAACUCAACUAAUGCACUUUUAUCGGCACUUUUAACUCCUCCCUUUUUUUUAACAUCUGUACUUAAUUUUCAAUAAAAUUUUUAUUUAUUUAUUUCUGAUGUGUAUUAUAACCAAUCAUUUAUUUCACAGAAAGAAUUUUGUUAAGAAAUAAGCGUUGACAAUUUCGUCCUAUUUCACGAUUUUACACCGACACAAAUUUGCUGGACCAAAUAUUUCAUCGCCAUCUGUCUAUCCUUUUUCUCUAAUUUUAAAGUAAUUAUCUUAUUUUUAUAUUAAAAGCCACGCGUCUAGUCGACAACACCAAAAAUUGAUCCCGACUGCUAUUUGUUUUCAUGGUGAUUUGCUUGUGAAACGUAAAUAAAGAAAUUCAAGCUUCGCUUUUAAAUUGCUUGGUACUUCCGAUUAAUUUAUUAAAUUGUGGGCCUGGGCAAAUUGCUUUGAAGAUGCCACAAUGCGGUGAUGAAUAUGUAGCGCCGGCUAGGAGAAUUCGAUACAAUUACAAUGGGCGUUAGAAACGCUCGCCACAACUAAGCAACGAUUGUUUUCUAUAGUUAUAGCGAUUAGCAGAGAAAAAAUGUUUAGCGAAUUUACUGCCUGAAGAAAAUUUAGCUGAAAAACUACGCUGGAAAUAGUCACAAAAUAAAAAGUCGCCACAUUUCCCACAGUUUAUUGAAGAUUUAGUAUGUAGCUUAUUUGUGAAUUGUAAAGUCCUGUAGAUAUGAAGAACACCAUCUACGUUUGUGGUAUUUUAAUUUUUAAUAUCAUACAUAUUGCAGAAUCUGCCACGGGCAUUCAAAUGGUGAAAAUGAAUGUAGAGAAUGAAGUUUAGACACGAAAAAGUUUAAUAUAGAGAAACACAACGCAAAAAACCUUCGAAACAAGGGCAAAAUUAAAGUCUCACGGUGUACAGAAAGAUAUUGAUGGUAAUCAGAAAUCCACCUUGGCUACUAAUGACUAUGAUUUCAUGUAAGUACUGUUAAGAUGCGCAUACCAUAUUUCAUAAAAAAUGUUUGCUUCAUGUUUUUUGUGGAAAAUCGAUGGCUAUGAUUUACAUCUAAAACUGUACACUUAAAAAUUAUGAAUUACAAAUUUCUAACAUGCUUGUG
Long non-coding RNA from Anastrepha obliqua, 1743 nucleotides. RefSeq lists it as uncharacterized. Lineage: Eukaryota; Metazoa; Arthropoda; Insecta; Diptera; Tephritidae. The transcript is spliced from 3 exons. The record is from RefSeq and is a predicted model, not a curated record.